UACGUAGGGGGCAAGCGUUGUCCGGAAUCAUUGGGCGUAAAGCGCGUGUAGGCGGUUCAGUAAGUCUGCUGUGAAAGUCCAGGGCUCAACCCUGGGAUGCCGGUGGAUACUGCUGGACUAGAGUGCGGAAGAGGCGAGUGGAAUUCCCGGUGUAGCGGUGGAAUGCGCAGAUAUCAGGAGGAACACCGAUGGCGAAGGCAGGUCACUGGGCCGCAACUGACGCUGAGGAGCGAAAGCAUGGGGAGCGAACAGG
This 253-nucleotide ribosomal RNA is filed under the name uncultured bacterium. RNAcentral describes it as "partial 16S ribosomal RNA". It matches the Rfam family "Bacterial small subunit ribosomal RNA", at positions 524 to 776 of the family's 1533-position model. The record is from RNAcentral.